CAAAUUGUACCUACUACAAUAUCAUAUAUUGAAUUAUGAACACCAACACAAAUCCAAAAACGAACCUCACUCAUCAAUAUCAACAAUAAUUUGAGAGAAAAAGUGAUUGAUUAUAAUCAUAUUUAUCAGUAUUGUGUCAAUAUCACAUAUUAAUAUAUGUCAAAUAUUGUACAUGAUUUUCAAGUAUCAGUGUUACGUAGACAUUAAAUAUUGAUAAAAUUGAGACGAUUGAUUAAAAGAUGCAAAUAAAAAUAGGUAUUGUUCUAUCGAUAUUAAAAUUUACUUGUCUAUAAAAUAGGUCUCUCUGAGUUUGAAUUGAUAAUUAUGCAUUUUAAAGUUGUUAUUGUUUAACUUUGAUAUUUCCUAUACCUGUCACAAUUGUUAAAAUCCAAAAUUAAUUAUGUACUUCUUCAUAUGUUUCCCGGCUUUGUAUUUGAUCUUAUAAUAAAAACAAUAAUCUCAUUUUAUUUUUUCAACUGAUCUUUCCCGUAACCUACAACACACCUUCAUAAAAUUUGGAACAUUUGUUUGUGUUUUGAAUAUCUUGGAUACUCACUUUUUAUUUCAAUUAUUUUGCAGUAUCAAAGGGAAAAAUACAAAAUACAAAAUUCUUUGAAAUUAAAGAUAAAAAAAAAUUAGGUAAAGUAUAGGAGUAAGACAAUAACUAUGAAGUUACAUAGUAGAUUCAUUUGUAUACUUUAAGUGUCCAAAAAACUUAU
RNAcentral lists this long non-coding RNA (719 nucleotides) under Cicer arietinum (chickpea). RNAcentral describes it as "long non-coding RNA (CARI_LNC001826)". The record is from RNAcentral. Lineage: Eukaryota; Viridiplantae; Streptophyta; Magnoliopsida; Fabales; Fabaceae.